CAGCAGCCGCGGGAAUACAGAGGGUGCGAGCGUUAAUCGGAUUUACUGGGCGUAAAGCGUGCGUAGGCGGCUUUUUAAGUCGGAUGUGAAAUCCCUGAGCUUAACUUAGGAAUUGCAUUCGAUAAUGGGAAGCUAGAGUAUGGGAGAGGAUGGUAGAAUUCCAGGUGUAGCGGUGAAAUGCGUAGAGAUCUGGAGGAAUACCGAUGGCGAAGGCAGCCAUCUGGCCUAAUACUGACGCUGAGGUACGAAAGCAUGGGGAGCAAACAGGAUUAGAUACCCCUGUAGUCCCUGUCUCUUAUAC
Molecule: ribosomal RNA, 301 nt
Filed under: uncultured bacterium
Lineage: Bacteria
Description: partial 16S ribosomal RNA
Rfam family: Bacterial small subunit ribosomal RNA
Source: RNAcentral